This 91-nucleotide transfer RNA is filed under the name Fimbriimonadales bacterium. RNAcentral's name for it is "tRNA-Ser". It matches the Rfam family "tRNA". Rfam says of the family: Transfer RNA (tRNA) molecules are approximately 80 nucleotides in length. Lineage: Bacteria; Bacillati; Armatimonadota; Fimbriimonadia; Fimbriimonadales. The record is from RNAcentral. RNAcentral also lists the same sequence under 1 other name.
GGAGGGGUGGCCGAGUGGCUGAAGGCGGCGGUCUUGAAAACCGCAUCCCACCUCGCGUGGGACGGGGGUUCGAAUCCCUCCCCCUCCGCCA